UACUUCAAAAUGGGCAACAUUUGUUUGACAGAUCAAGGUGUAAGAAUUUAGGAUGGAUUAACAAUGGAUACAAGCUGAUGCAAGGUGCAUUUUUAUGUUUCUGGGAUGAAUUAAUGGAUGAAUUAAUCAAAGGUUUUUUGUUUAAUCAAACAUUUCUUGGUAUUCCUUUCUGUGAACACCAUUUGAGGGACACUAGAAACACUUUUUUGCAAAAAGUAUCUGUGAUUGUGAACUUAGGGUGUAUUGUUAUGUGAACAUGCACAACAAAUGUGAGAAAAUAAGAGGACAGUAAGGAAUCAACACACAAAAAUGUUUUUACCUUCAGGACAUGAAGAAGUGCCUCACAGCUAUUUCCAAGCUUCUUUGGUGGUGAAGUUGGUGAGGGGAAAAGGGAUGGGAGUGCAUUGAAGAGGGCAAGCGUGAACUCCACUAAAGAAUAGAAAGAUUGGUCUGAAUGGUCUGAAUAUGGUAUAAAUCAAAAUACAUUUGCAUAUGGAACCGCAACUUACCUCCACGGACAUCCAAUGGAAAGGGGGGUUUCAGGGCUUUCUUCCACACACCAUAGAACUGCACCUUGGCACAAAAGUCUGCCCAUCUUCCUUUCACUUCCUCGAUGUAUCUGCUGUUGGUGCCACCUACUAUGCACCGCAGCUCAUCCAUUGCCUAAGACAGCAUUGUGCACAGUUAUUCAACCAUUGGACAUUUAGAACACAGAUGGAUAGACAGUAAUUCAAGUGCAAGUAGUGGAAAAAAAACAUACAUUUCGAACAUCUCUAAAGCAUGGAUAUGCCUCAAAGAUUUUUGCAGGUCGGUCUUCUUCCCUUGUAACAUCUGCAUCAAUGAAAGCCCGUCUGGCCUUAAACUCAAGGUUUUGUAGUGCCUAGCCUGCAUUUUCAGACUGUCCUGGCCGACUGAAAUGGCAAAAAACAGAGCAGACAUUUCAACGUAAACACAACUUUAUUGCAUUAUGCAGGUCGGUCUACUUCCCUUGUAACACUCAAAUCAAUUAACUUAAUUGAUACAAUAAUACAAUAAUUAGUAAUACAAAAAUACAAUAAUUUUAUGUUGUUUAUAUGAACAAUGGGAGUUGUCUGGAAAAAGAGUUUCCAUUAACAUCCACAAACUAAGGAAAUUUGAAUUUAAUCUCCAACCGUUUAGACUCUGAUUUGCCACUCUGAAAGUCAUUAUCAUGGAUAACAGGCUGAGAGGUGUGCUGAGGUGGGCUUACCAACAUCAUCCUUUGCAGGCGUGGUUGGUGAAGCGAUCACAGUCCUGAGUGAGGAGCCUGAGGCUGAUGCGGAUGGCAGCAGGAAGGUUUUGGUCUUUGGCUUCCUUGGCACAGAGGGGGGUCGAUGUGCUGGGAAUGCUUUUUGGGGAAAUAAUGAAAGAAAUAAAACACAAAUAAAAGCAUGACAACAAGCAAAACCGGCAGAUAAACACAGUGCAUGCCUAGCCAUAAACUCUGGCUUGACAAAUACAGACAACUAUAGUUUCAUUACAUGAUUAGACAAUUUUUAGACAAAAAAACAGUAGUCUAACAG
Molecule: long non-coding RNA, 1541 nt
Organism: Gasterosteus aculeatus aculeatus (three-spined stickleback)
Lineage: Eukaryota; Metazoa; Chordata; Actinopteri; Perciformes; Gasterosteidae
Source: Ensembl